Schizosaccharomyces osmophilus is the source of this 95-nucleotide small nucleolar RNA. The record is from RefSeq and is a predicted model, not a curated record. Lineage: Eukaryota; Fungi; Ascomycota; Schizosaccharomycetes; Schizosaccharomycetales; Schizosaccharomycetaceae.
AAAAAUUCUUUGAUGAAUCGAAUAUGCAUAGUUCACGCUGAGCUUACUAUGCUGAUACAUAAUUCACUGAUUUGCACGUCAGUCUGAGAAUUUAG